RNAcentral lists this transfer RNA (101 nucleotides) under Microlunatus panaciterrae. RNAcentral's name for it is "tRNA-Glu". The record is from RNAcentral. Lineage: Bacteria; Bacillati; Actinomycetota; Actinomycetes; Propionibacteriales; Propionibacteriaceae.
AGCAGGUUUCGAGGGUCGCUAGUGAAUGUCGCGAGACAACGCAAACCCCGCUGGAUUGCCCUCUCAAGGCGGUGGCGCGGGUUCGAAUCCCGUCGGGGCUA